This 64-nucleotide ribosomal RNA is filed under the name uncultured bacterium. RNAcentral's name for it is "partial 16S ribosomal RNA". The record is from RNAcentral.
UGCGCUUGACAUCCCUAUCGCGGAUUAGAGAGAUCUUUUCCUUCAGCUCGGCUGGAUAGGUGAC